Molecule: ribosomal RNA, 787 nt
Filed under: Actinomycetes bacterium
Lineage: Bacteria; Bacillati; Actinomycetota; Actinomycetes
Description: bacterial SSU rRNA
Rfam family: Bacterial small subunit ribosomal RNA
Source: RNAcentral
ACCACUUCGGUGGGGAUUAGUGGCGAACGGGUGAGUAACACGUGGGCAAUCUGCCCUUCACUCUGGGACAAGCCCUGGAAACGGGGUCUAAUACCGGAUACGAGCCUCCAAGGCAUCUUGGGGGUUGGAAAGCUCCGGCGGUGAAGGAUGAGCCCGCGGCCUAUCAGCUUGUUGGUGAGGUAGUGGCUCACCAAGGCGACGACGGGUAGCCGGCCUGAGAGGGCGACCGGCCACACUGGGACUGAGACACGGCCCAGACUCCUACGGGAGGCAGCAGUGGGGAAUAUUGCACAAUGGGCGAAAGCCUGAUGCAGCGACGCCGCGUGAGGGAUGACGGCCUUCGGGUUGUAAACCUCUUUCAGCAGGGAAGAAGCGAAAGUGACGGUACCUGCAGAAGAAGCGCCGGCUAACUACGUGCCAGCAGCCGCGGUAAUACGUAGGGCGCAAGCGUUGUCCGGAAUUAUUGGGCGUAAAGAGCUCGUAGGCGGCUUGUCACGUCGAUUGUGAAAGCCCGAGGCUUAACCUCGGGUCUGCAGUCGAUACGGGCUAGCUAGAGUGUGGUAGGGGAGAUCGGAAUUCCUGGUGUAGCGGUGAAAUGCGCAGAUAUCAGGAGGAACACCGGUGGCGAAGGCGGAUCUCUGGGCCAUUACUGACGCUGAGGAGCGAAAGCGUGGGGAGCGAACAGGAUUAGAUACCCUGGUAGUCCACGCCGUAAACGGUGGGAACUAGGUGUUGGCGACAUUCCACGUCGUCGGUGCCGCAGCUAACGCAUUAAGUUCCCCGCCUG